AUUACCGCGGCUGCUGGCACGUAGUUAGCCGGUGCUUAUUCUUACGGUACCGUCAUUAGCAAACUGUAUUAGAGCUCGCCGUUUCGUUCCGUACAAAAGCAGUUUACAACCCGAAGGCCUUCAUCCUGCACGCGGCAUUGCUGGAUCAGGCUUGCGCCCAUUGUCCAAAUAUCCCC
This 176-nucleotide ribosomal RNA is filed under the name uncultured bacterium WkB11. Its description in RNAcentral is "partial 16S ribosomal RNA". The record is from RNAcentral.